Trichonephila inaurata madagascariensis is the source of this 73-nucleotide non-coding RNA. Lineage: Eukaryota; Metazoa; Arthropoda; Arachnida; Araneae; Nephilidae. The record is from the annotation of a GenBank genome assembly.
GUCCCUGUAGCACAAUGGAUAGCGUGUUGGAUUUAGAAUCAAAAAGUCGUUUGUUCAAAUCCAACCUGGGAUG